Molecule: long non-coding RNA, 1207 nt
Filed under: Populus tremula
Lineage: Eukaryota; Viridiplantae; Streptophyta; Magnoliopsida; Malpighiales; Salicaceae
Description: long non-coding RNA (PTRE_LNC003065)
Source: RNAcentral
UGGUCCAAGACCGUUAUUUUUCCAGCUGAAAAUCAGCAACACAGCCCCCACCCCCUUGGUAAUUAAUUUUCCUCUCUUUCCCCUGAUAAAAGACCAGCCACACACUCUCCCUGGCAGGAGGCAAAAAACGAAGGCACCCCCCGGUGGAUUUCAUUUUUUCUCCCGGGCAGCCACCAUCAGAAAAUCAAGGCAGCCGCCCCCGCCCUUGACAUUUUUGUUUUUCUUUCAACACCGGAACCAGCCCCCUUCCCCGGUUUGAAAUUUAUUUUUUUACUCCCACAACCUCCUGAUUUUCAGCUCAAUCUCAGCCGGUUUUUCCCCCCAUCUUCUUCCCCUUCAACCAAAAUUCAAGGCCUGCACAGGGAAGCCACAAAAAUCCUCUCCCUUCUCCUUCAAAACCGAACAGCCCCCUCCCCGUUUUCAUUUUCUUUUCUUCCCCAAACCAGCACCACCCACAACACCGAUCGACCUCUCCCUUUCCCCAAGACUAGCAGCUCCAUUUUCCUUUCCAGCAACACGCCGAACACUCCCCUCUUUCGGCCAUUCCUUCUUCCCAGCUCUCAUAGCCGGACACGGCGACGCCUCCUCCAACAAGCAACACGCCGGACAGAAGCCAGAGCAGUUCCCCUUCGCUGUACCAUCUCGCCGUUUGCAUCGCCAUCUUCCCCGACCUCUCCUCUCCGUCCAGCCUCCGACAGCAGCAGCGACCACCACAGCAAACCCCAGCAGCGCCGUCCACAGACCGGCAGCCACCACCACAGACCAGCCACAACUCCGCCGUCCGAAGAUCCAGCAACCAGCAGAGGAACGAAGACAGAGGCGAGAUCGAUCUGAAGAAGGAAAAGAACCGAUCUGUUUCUGCAGAUCAAAAAGAAGCAGAUCUGUAACGGGAAGAAAAAUAAAAACCGAUUGCUGUUUGUGAGUUUUUUUUGUUGUUGCAGGUGGCGGUGAUCUUCACCGCCGGCGAGGAAAGGAAGAGGAGAAGGAGCCGCUCCAGCCCCCCUCUGUUUUUCAGGUUUCCAUCGGCGGCCACGCGCCGCCAGUGACGGUGGCGCGUGGGAAGACGCGCCACCACUGCUCCGAACACUGUUCCUGCGUAUUCCAGAAGCCUAUGGAUGUUUACGGACUAUUUCUGUAAAUUUUAAAUUAAUUAAUGUAAUUUUUGUUCAUUUGUUUGGAAUUUAGAUUGUAUAAAUGUGAUUAAAAA